Molecule: ribosomal RNA, 484 nt
Filed under: uncultured bacterium
Lineage: Bacteria
Description: partial 16S ribosomal RNA
Rfam family: Bacterial small subunit ribosomal RNA
Source: RNAcentral
AUUGAACGCUGGCGGCAGGCCUAACACAUGCAGGUCGAGCGGAUGAAGGGAGCUUGCUCCUGGAUUCAGCGGCGGACGGGUGAGUAAUGCCUAGGAAUCUGCCUGGUAGUGGGGGAUAACGUCCGGAAACGGGCGCUAAUACCGCAUACGUCCUGAGGGAGAAAGUGGGGGAUCUUCGGACCUCACGCUAUCAGAUGAGCCUAGGUCGGAUUAGCUAGUUGGUGGGGUAAAGGCCUACCAAGGCGACGAUCCGUAACUGGUCUGAGAGGAUGAUCAGUCACACUGGAACUGAGACACGGUCCAGACUCCUACGGGAGGCAGCAGUGGGGAAUAUUGGACGAUGGGCGAAAGCCUGAUCCAGCCAUGCCGCGUGUGUGAAGAAGGUCUUCGGAUUGUAAAGCACUUUAAGUUGGGAGGAAGGGCAGUAAGUUAAUACCUUGCUGUUUUGACGUUACCAACAGAAUAAGCACCGGCUAACUUCGUG